This 67-nucleotide transfer RNA is filed under the name Marmota monax (woodchuck). Its description in RNAcentral is "tRNA.Pro". Lineage: Eukaryota; Metazoa; Chordata; Mammalia; Rodentia; Sciuridae. The record is from RNAcentral.
GGUUACAGCUCAGUGGUAGAGUGUUUGCCUAGGACAUGUGAGGCACUGAGUUCAAUUCUCAGCACCA